GUCUUUAAGAAUUUAAUUUUAAGUCUAAUCUGCCCAAUGAUUUGAUUUAAUGGCUGCAGAAAUUUAACUGUACAAAGGUAGCAUAAUAAUUUGUUCCUUAAUUAGGGACUAGUAUGAAAGAUUAAAUGAAAUAUAAACUGUUUCAAUUAAUUUAAAAAUAUUAAAUUUUUUAUUUAAGUAAAAAAACUUAAAUAAUUUAUAAAGACGACAAGACCCUAUAGAAUUUAAUUAAUAAAGUUAUAAAUUUAUAUCUUUAAAUAAUUUUAUUGGGGCAAUAAAAAAAUUAAUUUAAUUUUUUUUUAAAAAUACAUUUAUUUAUGAAUUUUUAAUCUUAAUUUUUAAAUUAAAAAAAUUAAUUACCUUAGGGAUAACAGCAUAAUUUUUUUUAAAAGAUCUUAUUAAUAAAAAAGUUUAU
Molecule: ribosomal RNA, 415 nt
Filed under: Plaxopsis sp.
Lineage: Eukaryota; Metazoa; Arthropoda; Insecta; Hymenoptera; Braconidae
Description: partial 16S ribosomal RNA
Source: RNAcentral